This 699-nucleotide ribosomal RNA is filed under the name Pseudomonas sp. Its description in RNAcentral is "bacterial SSU rRNA". It matches the Rfam family "Bacterial small subunit ribosomal RNA", at positions 41 to 735 of the family's 1533-position model. The record is from RNAcentral. Lineage: Bacteria; Pseudomonadati; Pseudomonadota; Gammaproteobacteria; Pseudomonadales; Pseudomonadaceae.
GGCAGGCCUAACACAUGCAAGUCGAGCGGAUGACGGGAGCUUGCUCCCGAAUUCAGCGGCGGACGGGUGAGUAAUGCCUAGGAAUCUGCCUGGUAGUGGGGGACAACGUCUCGAAAGGGACGCUAAUACCGCAUACGUCCUACGGGAGAAAGCAGGGGACCUUCGGGCCUUGCGCUAUCAGAUGAGCCUAGGUCGGAUUAGCUAGUUGGUGAGGUAAUGGCUCACCAAGGCGACGAUCCGUAACUGGUCUGAGAGGAUGAUCAGUCACACUGGAACUGAGACACGGUCCAGACUCCUACGGGAGGCAGCAGUGGGGAAUAUUGGACAAUGGGCGAAAGCCUGAUCCAGCCAUGCCGCGUGUGUGAAGAAGGUCUUCGGAUUGUAAAGCACUUUAAGUUGGGAGGAAGGGCAUUAACCUAAUACGUUAGUGUUUUGACGUUACCGACAGAAUAAGCACCGGCUAACUCUGUGCCAGCAGCCGCGGUAAUACAGAGGGUGCAAGCGUUAAUCGGAAUUACUGGGCGUAAAGCGCGCGUAGGUGGUUUGUUAAGUUGGAUGUGAAAGCCCCGGGCUCAACCUGGGAACUGCAUUCAAAACUGACAAGCUAGAGUAUGGUAGAGGGUGGUGGAAUUUCCUGUGUAGCGGUGAAAUGCGUAGAUAUAGGAAGGAACACCAGUGGCGAAGGCGACCACCUGGACU